Molecule: ribosomal RNA, 587 nt
Filed under: uncultured bacterium
Lineage: Bacteria
Description: bacterial SSU rRNA
Rfam family: Bacterial small subunit ribosomal RNA
Source: RNAcentral
CCUACGGGAGGCAGCAGUGGGGAGUUUUGGACAAUGGGGGCAACCCUGAUCCAGCCAUGCCGCGUGUGUGAAGAAGGCCUUCGGGUUGUAAAGCACUUUCGGACGGAACGAAAUCGCGCGGGUGAGCAAUCCGCGUGGAUGACGGUACCGUAGGAAGAAGCACCGGCUAACUACGUGCCAGCAGCCGCGGUAAUACGUAGGGUGCGAGCGUUAAUCGGAAUUACUGGGCGUAAAGCGUGCGCAGGCGGCGCCGCAAGUCAGGCGUGAAAUCCCCGAGCUUAACUUGGGAAUGGCGCUUGAAACUACGGUGCUGGAGUGUGGCAGAGGGAGGUGGAAUUCCACGUGUAGCGGUGAAAUGCGUAGAGAUGUGGAGGAACACCGGUGGCGAAGGCAGCCUCCUGGGCCAACACUGACGCUCAUGCACGAAAGCGUGGGGAGCAAACAGGAUUAGAUACCCUGGUAGUCCACGCCCUAAACGAUGAUGACUAGUUGUUGGGGGAGUUAAAUCCCUUAGUAACGCAGCUAACGCGUGAAGUCAUCCGCCUGGGGAGUACGGUCGCAAGAUUAAAACUCAAAGGAAUUGACGG